UACUCGAGUGGCGAACGGGUGAGUAACACGUGGGUGAUCUGCCCUGCACUUCGGGAUAAGCCUGGGAAACUGGGUCUAAUACCGGAUAGGAGCCAUUUUUAGUGUGAUGGUUGGAAAGUUUUUUCGGUGUAGGAUGAGCUCGCGGCCUAUCAGCUUGUUGGUGGGGUAAUGGCCUACCAAGGCGGCGACGGGUAGCCGGCCUGAGAGGGUAGACGGCCACAUUGGGACUGAGAUACGGCCCAG
Molecule: ribosomal RNA, 243 nt
Filed under: uncultured Actinomycetales bacterium
Lineage: Bacteria; Bacillati; Actinomycetota; Actinomycetes; Actinomycetales
Description: partial 16S ribosomal RNA
Rfam family: Bacterial small subunit ribosomal RNA
Source: RNAcentral